ACUCCUACGGGAGGCAGCAGUGGGGAAUAUUGCACAAUGGGCGGCAAAGCCUGAUGCAGCCAUGCCGCGUGUGUGAAGAAGGCCUUCGGGUUGUAAAAGCACUUUUCAGUCGUGAGGAAGGUAGUGUAGUUAAUAGCUGCAUUUAUUUUGACGUUAGCGACAGAAGAAGCACCGGCUAACUCCGUGCCAGCAGCCGCGGUAAUACGGAGGGUGCGAGCGUUAAUCGGAAUUACUGGGCGUAAAGCGC
Molecule: ribosomal RNA, 247 nt
Filed under: uncultured bacterium
Lineage: Bacteria
Description: partial 16S ribosomal RNA
Rfam family: Bacterial small subunit ribosomal RNA
Source: RNAcentral